Molecule: ribosomal RNA, 424 nt
Filed under: uncultured archaeon
Lineage: Archaea
Description: bacterial SSU rRNA
Rfam family: Archaeal small subunit ribosomal RNA
Source: RNAcentral
AUCUGGCUGUCGAGAUGCCUAAAAAGCAUUUCAUAGCAAGGGCCGGGCAAGACCGGUGCCAGCCGCCGCGGUAACACCGGCGGCUCGAGUGGUAACCGUUAUUAUUGGGUCUAAAGGGUCUGUAGCCGGCCGGAUAAGUCUCUUGAGAAAUCUGGCAGCUUAACUGUCAGGCUUUCAGGAGAUACUGUCUGGCUCGAGGCCGGGAGAGGUGAGAGGUACUUCAGGGGUAGGGGUGAAAUCUUGUAAUCCUUGAAGGACCACCAGUGGCGAAGGCGUCUCACCAGAACGGACCUGACGGCAAGGGACGAAAGCUAGGGGCACGAACCGGAUUAGAUACCCGGGUAGUCCUAGCCGUAAACGAUACUCGCUAGGUGUCGGCCACGGUGCGACCGUUGUCGGUGCCGUAGGGAAGCCGUGAAGCGAG